This 1025-nucleotide ribosomal RNA is filed under the name Megascolecidae sp. YN201759-03. Its description in RNAcentral is "partial small subunit ribosomal RNA". The stretch from base 1 to 344 matches the Rfam family "Bacterial small subunit ribosomal RNA", at positions 949 to 1533 of the family's 1533-position model. The record is from RNAcentral. Lineage: Eukaryota; Metazoa; Annelida; Clitellata; Crassiclitellata; Megascolecidae.
ACUCGAUAAUCCACGUAUACUCAACCUUCUCUAGAUAUUCAGCAUGUGUACUGCCGUUGUAAGCAUACCUCUAAAAGCAAGUAUGCCAUAAUGACUAAUAACUCACAUACAUCAGGUCAAAGUGCAGCCAAUAGGAAGGUGAUGAUGGGUUACAACCUCAAAACAGACUAUCAACCAAGAAAUUAAAAAUCUUGUGAAAGUGGACUUGGCCGUAAUCUAUUUUCAAGUCAAAAAAAUGAAUAAGUACCUAAGAUAUGUACACAUCGCCCGUCAUUCUACCCUAAAGGGUAGACAAGUCGUAACAAAGUAGGCGUAAUGGAAAUUGCGCCUGUCGGAGUAUAGCAUAUAUAAUGCUUUUUACUUACACUAAAAAUAAAGUUAAACACUUACUUCGCCUAAAACUAUUAAUCUUUAAAAUAAUAUAUAAAUCAAAGUUACAAAAUAAAGUACAGAAAUGGAAAAUAUAUUUAAUAAAAGUAAAUCUUGACAAUUGUACCUUGUGCAUUAUGGUUUUACAAGAAAUUAGUUAAAAACAUUGAUCCCGAAUUCUAAAUGAGAUGUUAAACUGCUGUUAAGAACCCAUUAAUAACUGUAGAAAAAGCUUUAAAAGACUGUUUAACAGGGGCUACAUACCAUCCGCAUAAGAAUAUAUCUGGUUUUCAACAAACAUUAUUCAUUAAAACAUAUAAUUAAAUUAUAUUGUAAUAUUAUUGAGGAUAAGCCCAAUAAUUAAAGCAAUCUAAACAAAAGUCUAUUUUAUUAGUUAGGCCUAAAAUCAGCCAACUAAAGUGCUUUAUCGCAAUAAAUAACGACAUAAUAAAUAUACUAACAUGCUAAAUAAAGUUGAAAUAGUGAACAAACUACAUAACUCACACAUACUAUGUAAAAAUAAGUAUUAUACAACUACAUAAAUCACAUACACGUAACUAACAUCAAAUAAAACAACUAUAACUAAUUAAGGAACUCGGCAAACCACUAUUUCGACUGUUUAACAAAAACAUUGUCUCAUGUACUAAAUAUGAGAU